ACGUAGGGGGCAAGCGUUGUCCGGAUUUACUGGGCGUAAAGAGCGCGUAGGCGGAAGCUUAAGUGUGGCCUGAAAGCCCCCGGCUCAACCGGGGAGGGUGGCUGCAAACUGGGCUUCUUGAGGUUGAUAGAGGAGAGCGGAAUUCCUGGUGUAGCGGUGAAAUGCGUAGAUAUCAGGAGGAACACCGGUGGCGAAGGCGGCUCUCUGGGUCGGACCUGACGCUGAGGCGCGAAAGCGUGGGGAGCGAACGGGA
Molecule: ribosomal RNA, 253 nt
Filed under: uncultured prokaryote
Description: partial 16S ribosomal RNA
Rfam family: Bacterial small subunit ribosomal RNA
Source: RNAcentral